AUUGAACGCUGGCGGUAGGCCUAACACACGCAAGUCGAACGGCAGCACAGUAAUUGCUCGUUCAUACGGCUGGCGACGGGUGGGUAGGGGCGAAGUAUCUGGGUAUUUGUGGGUGCGUGGGGGAGGACGUGGGCGAACUUACCCCAAUAGUCCAUACGGCGUACGGGUGGAAUCAUGGGAUCUUCGGACCUUAGAUGAGCCUAUGACGCGAUGUCGGAUUAGCUAGUUGGCGGGGUAAAGGCCCACCAAGGCGACGAUCCGUAGCUGGUCUGAGAGGAUGAUCAGCCACACUGGAACUGAGACACGGUCCAGACUCCUACGGGAGGCAGCAGUGGGGAAUAUUGGACAAUGGGCGAAAGCCUGAUCCAGCCAUGCCGCGUGUGUGAAGAAGGUCUUCGGAUUGUAAAGCACUUUUGUUGGGGAGGAAAGGCAGUAAGUUAAUACCUUGCUGUUUUGACGGUACCAACAGAAUAAGCACCGGCUAACUUCGUG
Molecule: ribosomal RNA, 492 nt
Filed under: uncultured bacterium
Lineage: Bacteria
Description: partial 16S ribosomal RNA
Rfam family: Bacterial small subunit ribosomal RNA
Source: RNAcentral